CUUUUUUGAACUGUAACGGCUUUCAAUGCGUAGAAUAGAGAACAUUUAGGAGUCCACGGGAAACCGGUUCCUUUCAAAUCCAGUUGUCUUUGUGAUGGACUAUUGUGUGUAUGUCUGGUGUUGUUUUGAUUCUAUCUUCGAACAGAUUUUAACAUCUACUACCCUCUGUCUUACUGAGACAGACUAGGACCUGGGACCCUUUCCUGCAGUGUUUGCACCUGGACAAACUUGAGGCAGAAGAUACAUGGUCCCCAGGCUGACCAGUUGGAAUCCGUCCCCUGUGGACAGAUACUCCAAGGUAAAACUAAUAGCAGCAGCAAGGUGGAGCUGAGUCCUACCUGGAUAGAAUAUAAAGAGACUACAUAUUUCUUAUUCUUCAGGUCAAGGAGACCUCCCAAACUAUACAUGCUCAGAAAGGUUCCUCUGGGGUCAAAAGGGAGGGAGGGAGCCACCCCAUAAUAGGUGAUGUCAACCUCCCUGUAGGCCUCUGGGCCAGAAUCUAUCUUGGCAAAAAGAUGCACACGCAUGUCAGGAAGGGCGCUAGGACAGGUUAGGUGUGAAAAAGAAUCGAGAUAAUUGGCUAAAGGUAAACAAAGACGCAGAAGAAAUGCCCUAUAUAAGUGAUUUGAAUCACCUCUCUGGUGCGCUCUUCCUCAUUAGGGAGGAUGACCACACCCUUUAUCUCCGGGUGUGUAUCUCUGCCUUGCUUCUGUCUUAAACUGUUUCUCCCUCCAACUUGUGCUGUGGCUCUAAUAAUAAACUUUGAACCUGUUUUUACAG
Molecule: long non-coding RNA, 780 nt
Organism: Balaenoptera acutorostrata (minke whale)
Lineage: Eukaryota; Metazoa; Chordata; Mammalia; Artiodactyla; Balaenopteridae
Exons: 2
Source: RefSeq, a predicted model, not a curated record